UCAGGAUGAACGCUGGCGGCGUGCCUAACACAUGCAAGUCGAACGGAGUUACUGAAGGCAAAGCUUCGGCAGAGCCAUUGGUAAACUUAGUGGCGGACGGGUGAGUAACGCGUGGGCAACCUGCCUCAUACUGGGGGAUAACAGUUGGAAACGACUGUUAAUACCGCAUAAGCGCACAGUGUCGCAUGACACAGUGUGAAAAACUCCGGUGGUAUGAGAUGGGCCCGCGCCAGAUUAGCCAGUUGGCGGGUAACGGCCCACCAAAGCGACGAUCUGUAGCCGGACUGAGAGGUCGGACGGCCACAUUGGGACUGAGACACGGCCCAAACUCCUACGGGAGGCAGCAGUGGGGGAUAUUGCACAAUGGAGGAAACUCUGAUGCAGCGACGCCCGCGUGAGUGAAGAAGUAUUUCGGUAUGUAAAGCUCUAUCAGCAGGGAAGAAAGACCCGCAAGGGGGAUGACGGUACCUGACUAAGAAGCCCCGGCUAACUACGUGCCAGCCGCCGC
Molecule: ribosomal RNA, 508 nt
Filed under: uncultured bacterium
Lineage: Bacteria
Description: bacterial SSU rRNA
Rfam family: Bacterial small subunit ribosomal RNA
Source: RNAcentral